This 492-nucleotide ribosomal RNA is filed under the name uncultured bacterium. RNAcentral's name for it is "SSU rRNA". It matches the Rfam family "Bacterial small subunit ribosomal RNA", at positions 26 to 524 of the family's 1533-position model. The record is from RNAcentral.
AGGAUUAACGCUGGCGGCGUGCCUAAUACAUGCAAGUCGAACGGACCUUUAUUUUUGAGAACUCCCUUAUAGGAUGUCUCAUAAAUAAUGGUUAGUGGCGGACGGGUGAGUAACACGUUGGUACCUGCCCUCUAGUGGGGAAUAACUGGCCGAAAGGUCGGCUAAUACCGCAUGUGAUCGCAAGAUCAAAGCAGUAAUGCGCUAGAGGAGGGGCCUGCGUCUGAUUAGCUAGUUGGUAGUGUAAUGGACUACCAAGGCAACGAUCAGUAGCUGGUUCGAGAGGAUGACCAGCCACACUGGGACUGAGAUACGGCCCAGACUCCUACGGGAGGCAGCAGUAAGGAAUCUUCCACAAUGGACGAAAGUCUGAUGGAGCAACGCCGCGUGCAGGAUGACGGUCUUCGGAUUGUAAACUGUCUUUUAUUUGGGAAGUAUUAUGGCGGUACCAAAUGAAUAAGGACCGGCUAACUACGUGCCAGCAGCCGCGGUAAU